Molecule: ribosomal RNA, 609 nt
Filed under: Mucor rongii
Lineage: Eukaryota; Fungi; Mucoromycota; Mucoromycetes; Mucorales; Mucoraceae
Description: partial large subunit ribosomal RNA
Rfam family: Eukaryotic large subunit ribosomal RNA
Source: RNAcentral
GAGCUCAAAGUUGGAACCUGUUUGGCUUAGCUAAACCGGAUUGUAAACUGUAGAAGUGUUUUCCAGACACGCCUGGUAAAAAAGUCCUUUGGAACAGGGCAUCAUAGAGGGUGAGAAUCCCGUCUUUGGCCAGAGCUGUUGUCUUUUGUGAUACAUUUUCAAAGAGUCAGGUUGUUUGGGAAUGCAGCCUAAAUUGGGUGGUAAAUCUCACCUAAAGCUAAAUAUUUGCGAGAGACCGAUAGCGAACAAGUACCGUGAGGGAAAGAUGAAAAGAACUUUGAAAAGAGAGUUAAACAGUAUGUGAAAUUGUUAAAAGGGAACCGUUUGGAGCCAGACUGGCUUGACUGUAAUCAAUCUAGGCUUCGGCCUGGAUGCACUUGCGGUUUAUGCCUGCCAACGACAAUUUUUUUUGAGGGAAAAAACUAUUUGGAAUGUGGCCCCCCUCGGGGGGUGUUAUAGCCUUUUAGAAAAUACCUUGAAUUGGAUUGAGGAACGCAGUGAAUGCCUUUAGGCAAGAUUGCUGGGCGCUUUCGCUAAUAAAUGCUAGAAUUUCUGCUUCGGGUGGUGCUAGUGUUUAAAGGAGAAACUCGUCUGGUAUAUUUUUUAUUC